CAACUGGUCCUUUUGUAUAAUUCUCGAUUAAAGUUAUUCCCUGGGAAGCUGAGAUCCAAAUGGUCAGGACCGUUUGUUGUUCACAAAGUUUUCCCUCAUGGAGCGAUUGAAUUAAAGAAUUAAGCGAACGGGGAUACCUUCAAAGUCAAUGGUCAGAGGUUAAAGUCGUAUUACCAAGGGCAAGAGAGUGGCCAAAUACAUGUUGUUCGUCUCACAGGGUGAGAUGAACAACCGUCGAG
RNAcentral lists this long non-coding RNA (239 nucleotides) under Lathyrus oleraceus (garden pea). Its description in RNAcentral is "Pisum sativum (pea) long non-coding RNA (PSAT_LNC035345)". Lineage: Eukaryota; Viridiplantae; Streptophyta; Magnoliopsida; Fabales; Fabaceae. The record is from RNAcentral.